RNAcentral lists this ribosomal RNA (241 nucleotides) under uncultured bacterium. RNAcentral's name for it is "partial 16S ribosomal RNA". It matches the Rfam family "Bacterial small subunit ribosomal RNA", at positions 67 to 334 of the family's 1533-position model. The record is from RNAcentral.
CGGGCAUUUUCGGAUGUCAGCGGCAGACGGGUGAGUAACACGUGGGAACGUACCCUUCGGUUCGGAACAACUCUGGGAAACUGGAGCUAAUACCGGAUACGCCCUUAUGGGGAAAGGUUUACUGCCGAAGGAUCGGCCCGCGUCUGAUUAGCUAGUUGGUGGGGUAACGGCCUACCAAGGCGACGAUCAGUAGCUGGUCUGAGAGGAUGAUCAGCCACACUGGGACUGAGACACGGCCCAG